RNAcentral lists this ribosomal RNA (382 nucleotides) under uncultured eukaryote. RNAcentral describes it as "SSU rRNA". It matches the Rfam family "Eukaryotic small subunit ribosomal RNA", at positions 587 to 972 of the family's 1831-position model. The record is from RNAcentral.
AGCUCCAAUAGCGUAUGUUAAAGUUGUUGCGGUUAAAAAGCUCGUAGUUGGAUUUCUAUCGAUGUUAGCCGGUCCACUCUCCGAGUGUGUAUCUGGUUUGACGUUGGUAUCCUAUCGUUUUUCGUUGCUGUGCUUAACUGCAUGGUGCGGGAUACGGUACUUUUACUUUGAGGAAAAUGGAUCGUUCACGGAAGGCAUUCGCCUUGAACAAUUUAGCAUGGAAUAAUAAUAUAGGAUCUUGUGUCUUUUUUGUUGGUUUCAAGUGCGCGAGAUAAUGAUUAAUAGGGACGGUUGGGGGCAUUGGUAUUAACGUGUCAGAGGUGGAAUUCUUGGAUUACGUUACGACCAACUACUGCGAAAGCAUCUGCCAAAGACGUUUUCA